This 253-nucleotide ribosomal RNA is filed under the name uncultured bacterium. Its description in RNAcentral is "partial 16S ribosomal RNA". It matches the Rfam family "Bacterial small subunit ribosomal RNA", at positions 524 to 776 of the family's 1533-position model. The record is from RNAcentral.
UACGAAGGGAGCUAGCGUUGCUCGGAAUUACUGGGCGUAAAGCGCGUGUAGGCGGCCUUCUAAGUCUGGUGUGAAAGCCCGGGGCUCAACCCCGGAAGUGCAUUGGAUACUGGGAGGCUGGAGUACCGGAGAGGAGGGUGGAAUUCCUGGUGUAGCGGUGAAAUGCGCAGAUAUCGGGAAGAACACCCGUGGCGAAGGCGGCUCUCUGGGACGGUACUGACGCUGAGACGCGAAAGCGUGGGGAGCGAACAGG